This 464-nucleotide ribosomal RNA is filed under the name Vreelandella stevensii. RNAcentral's name for it is "partial 16S ribosomal RNA". It matches the Rfam family "Bacterial small subunit ribosomal RNA", at positions 339 to 795 of the family's 1533-position model. Lineage: Bacteria; Pseudomonadati; Pseudomonadota; Gammaproteobacteria; Oceanospirillales; Halomonadaceae. The record is from RNAcentral.
UUACGGGAGGCAGCAGUGGGGAAUAUUGGACAAUGGGCGAAAGCCUGAUCCAGCCAUGCCGCGUGUGUGAAGAAGGCCUUCGGGUUGUAAAGCACUUUCAGUGGGGAAGAAAGCCUUGGGGCUAAUACCCUCGAGGAAGGACAUCACCCACAGAAGAAGCACCGGCUAACUCCGUGCCAGCAGCCGCGGUAAUACGGAGGGUGCGAGCGUUAAUCGGAAUUACUGGGCGUAAAGCGCGCGUAGGCGGUCUGAUAAGCCGGUUGUGAAAGCCCCGGGCUCAACCUGGGAACGGCAUCCGGAACUGUCAGGCUAGAGUGCAGGAGAGGAAGGUAGAAUUCCCGGUGUAGCGGUGAAAUGCGUAGAGAUCGGGAGGAAUACCAGUGGCGAAGGCGGCCUUCUGGACUGACACUGACGCUGAGGUGCGAAAGCGUGGGUAGCAAACAGGAUUAGAUACCCCGGUAGUC